GCGUCGGUGGCUCAGUUGGUUAAGUGUCCGACUUUAGCUCAGGUCAUGAUUUUGUGGUUCAUGGGUUCGAGUCCCAUCUCAGGCU
This 85-nucleotide transfer RNA is filed under the name Felis catus (domestic cat). It matches the Rfam family "tRNA". From Rfam's summary of the family: Transfer RNA (tRNA) molecules are approximately 80 nucleotides in length. The record is from Rfam by way of RNAcentral. Lineage: Eukaryota; Metazoa; Chordata; Mammalia; Carnivora; Felidae.